Molecule: ribosomal RNA, 342 nt
Filed under: Anopsobius patagonicus calcaratus
Lineage: Eukaryota; Metazoa; Arthropoda; Chilopoda; Lithobiomorpha; Henicopidae
Description: partial 12S ribosomal RNA
Source: RNAcentral
UCUAGUUUUAAAUUAAGAUAAUUGAGUAGUAUUAGAGUUCUUGAAACUUAAAGAGUUUGGCGGUAUUUAAGUCUUUUUAGAGGAACCUGUAGCAUAAUCGAUAGUCCACGAGAUAUCUAACCUAAAGAUUAAAGUAUGUAUAUCGUUGUCCUUAGAAUAAUUUUGGAGAAUAUUUUCUUAAAAUUUUUUGUUUUUAUGUCAAAUCAAGGUGCAGCUAUAUUUAGGUGUGAUUGGGUUACAAUGUUUAGUGUAUAUGGAUUAUAUAAUGAAAUUUAUAUAUAAAGGUGGAUUUAAUUGUAAUAAUUUUUUAAUAAAAAUUUUUGAAAGAGUACUAAAAUAUGC